This 474-nucleotide ribosomal RNA is filed under the name uncultured bacterium. RNAcentral's name for it is "bacterial SSU rRNA". It matches the Rfam family "Bacterial small subunit ribosomal RNA", at positions 8 to 474 of the family's 1533-position model. The record is from RNAcentral.
AGAGUUUGAUCAUGGCUCAGAUUGAACGCUGGCGGUAUGCUUAACACAUGCAAGUCGAACGGUAACAGGAAAAGCUUGCUUUUCGCUGACGAGUGGCGGACGGGUGCGUAAUGCGUAGGAAUCUGCCUAGUAGUGGGGGACAACUCGGAGAAAUUCGAGCUAAUACCGCAUAAGCCCUACGGGGGAAAACGGGGGAUCUUCUGACCUCGUGCUAUUAGAUGAGCCUACGUUAGAUUAGCUUGUUGGUGAGGUAAAAGCUCACCAAGGCGACGAUCUAUAGCUGGUCUGAGAGGAUGAUCAGCCACACUGGGACUGAGACACGGCCCAGACUCCUACGGGAGGCAGCAGUGGGGAAUAUUGGACAAUGGGCGAAAGCCUGAUCCAGCAAUACCGCGUGUGUGAAGAAGGCCUGAGGGUUGCAAAGCACUUUCAAUUGGGAGGAAUACCUAAUGGUUAAUAGCCAUUAGAUUGACA